Symphalangus syndactylus (siamang) is the source of this 1021-nucleotide long non-coding RNA. RefSeq lists it as uncharacterized. The record is from RefSeq and is a predicted model, not a curated record. Lineage: Eukaryota; Metazoa; Chordata; Mammalia; Primates; Hylobatidae.
CAGCACCCUAUAAUAGGAGGGAGGAAGCGGGUGUGUGAGGGGCAGGCCAAAACCCUGGAGCUCUUCCAGAAGAGCGGGAGACUCUGUGAGUAUCUGCAUGUGUGUCCACCCUGGUCUGGACAUGAUGGUUCUAUUAGUAUGGAGGUGGGAAAGGAGAGGAGAGGAGCAUCCAUUUCCCUCCCUGACAAGCUCCAAUGCCCGAGGAUGCUGGAUGUGGGACUGGCCUGAGUGGAGGGACCCAGGAGGAUGGACAGAGAUACUCACAGGAGGCCCAGCAAAUCCCGCUGGUCCGGGGGGCCCAGUCUCUCCACGUUCACCCUGUGAGAGAAGGGCGCAUGGCGAGAGGUCAGGCCCCGCUGCCUGACCUGCUUCUGCUCCCCUCCAAGAGCCCCUUGGGCCCUGCCCAGCCUCCUGUUCCCCAGAGACGGGCAUCUGAAAGCAGCCUUAGUCCUGAACGCAGGCAGAGACUCUGUUAACCCAAAAGCCCUCACCCUUCCCUUCCCAUCUCUCCUCCCACCCUAGACCCAGUGGGCAGGGAGGGAACGAGUGCCUGGCAGCACGCAGGCCCACCAGGCAGCAUGAGGGCCCGCGCUGGCUCUCUGGCUCUCUGGUUCCCAGGGGCCUCGGGCAGAGCCAGGCUCAGAGGGGCAGACACUCACCGGAGCGCCACGAGCACCAGCACUUCCUGCAGGACCAGGAGGUCCAACUUCUCCCUGAGGGCGGGAAAGGGAGGAAGAGCCAGGGCCCCGGGGGAGGGUGACAGUGGUGAGUGAGGACAAGACAGAACCGCCUUUGGCAGGAGAUAGGAAGGAGGCGUGACAGGGAGGCAAGGCGUGGAGAGGAAAGGAGCCGGGACUCACCUUCUCGCCGUUAGCACCAGCUGGGCCUGGGGGGCCAAUGGGACCGGUCAGGCCCUAUGGGGAGAGCAGGCAGAGGUGCCACGAGGGAACGGAAGGGAUCACAAGGGGCAGGAAUGUGGCAAAGCCACAGCUUUGGUGAGAGGCUGGAACCCCAGUACUUA